ACUUUGCGGAUAUCAGGGCAUACUUUUCCACAACAAAAUGGAACCGCCUCUGUAUGGCAGAGAAAAAAAGAUUCCUGCAGAUCAAGGAAAACCAUUUGGUUAUGUCGUCUCUUGUGUGUGUGUGUGUGUGUGUCAGGCCUGUCCUUUGUGGCUCCAGCCUUCAUGAGGAGAGAGAAGCCCGGCCAGGUGAGAGUCUGCUCACCUGAAGAGACAGACUCUGAGGAGGAGCAGCUCUGGACCUCUGGAUUGACCGGUGCUCGAGUGUGGAAGCCACCAACAGUCAGACAGGGGUCUCUACAACAGCCCAGUACGUCAGAUGCAGUGUCUGUACAGAGUCUCUCAGGGCGGGGCUGGAGUGACCAGGAGGUCUAUGGAGGGACCACUCCUUCUCAUCCAGAGAUCGACCGCCCC
Gadus chalcogrammus (walleye pollock) is the source of this 411-nucleotide long non-coding RNA. RefSeq lists it as uncharacterized. The transcript is spliced from 4 exons. NCBI's taxonomy places the organism in Eukaryota, Metazoa, Chordata, Actinopteri, Gadiformes, Gadidae. The record is from RefSeq and is a predicted model, not a curated record.